AGCAGCCGCGGUAAUUCCAGCUCCAAUAGCGUAUAUUAAAGUUGUUGCAGUUAAAAAGCUCGUAGUUGAAUUUCGGGGUUUAUCCGUUGGUCGGGCUUUUUGGUCUGUACUGGCGUGAUGGAUUCCUACCUUCUGAAUAACCGGCAUGCCAUUAAUUUGGUGCGCCGGGGAAGCAGGACUGUUACCUUGAAAAAAUUAGAGUGCUUAAAGCAGGCUUAUGCCUGAAUACAUUAGCAUGGAAUAAUGAAAUAGGACGGCAUGGUUCUAUUUUGUUGGUUUCUAGGAUCACCGUAAUGAUUAAUAGGGAUAGUUGGGGGCAUUAGUAUUCAAUUGUCAGAGGUGAAAUUCUUGGAUUUAUUGAAGACUAACUUCUGCGAAAGCAUUUGCCAAGGAUGUUUUCAUUAAUCAAGAACGAAAGUUAGGGGAUCGAAGACGAUCAGAUACCGUCGUAGUCUUAACCAUAAACUAUGCCGACUAGGGAUCGGACGAUGUUAAUUUUUUAAUGACUCAUUCGGCGCCU
This 520-nucleotide ribosomal RNA is filed under the name uncultured Glomus. Its description in RNAcentral is "SSU rRNA". It matches the Rfam family "Eukaryotic small subunit ribosomal RNA", at positions 569 to 1088 of the family's 1831-position model. The record is from RNAcentral. Lineage: Eukaryota; Fungi; Glomeromycota; Glomeromycetes; Glomerales; Glomeraceae.